RNAcentral lists this ribosomal RNA (253 nucleotides) under uncultured bacterium. RNAcentral's name for it is "partial 16S ribosomal RNA". It matches the Rfam family "Bacterial small subunit ribosomal RNA", at positions 524 to 776 of the family's 1533-position model. The record is from RNAcentral.
UACGGAGGAUCCGAGCGUUAUCCGGAUUUAUUGGGUUUAAAGGGUGCGUAGGCGGCCUAUUAAGUCAGGGGUGAAAGACGGUAGCUUAACUAUCGCAGUGCCUUUGAUACUGAGUGGCUUGAAUGAACUAGAGGUAGGCGGAAUGAGACAAGUGGCGGUGAAAUGCAUAGAUAUGUCUCAGAACACCGAUUGCGAAGGCAGCUUACUAUGGUUUAAUUGACGCUGAGGCACGAAAGCGUGGGGAUCAAACAGG